AACGUGAAACGCGGCGGUCUAGUUUUUUGUUUCUCGUACAUUAUUUUUAUUGUAAUAUCAGGAAAUCGGUAAUUUGUAUAUAAUUUUUCACAUAUUUUGUAUAUAUUCUUUUAUUUGUAUAUAUAAUUAGUGGAUUUCUUCAUAGUUGGAGCGCGAAGCCAUUAAAAAAAAAAAAAAAAAAAAACUGUCAGU
Cydia pomonella (codling moth) is the source of this 192-nucleotide long non-coding RNA. RefSeq lists it as uncharacterized. The transcript has 2 exons. Lineage: Eukaryota; Metazoa; Arthropoda; Insecta; Lepidoptera; Tortricidae. The record is from RefSeq and is a predicted model, not a curated record.